GACGAACGCUGGCGGCGUGCCUAAUACAUGCAAGUAGAACGCACAGUUUAUACCGUAGCUUGCUACACCAUAGACUGUGAGUUGCGAACGGGUGAGUAACGCGUAGGUAACCUGCCUGGUAGCGGGGGAUAACUAUUGGAAACGAUAGCUAAUACCGCAUAAUAUUGAUUAUUGCAUGAUAAUUGAUUGAAAGAUGCUAUUGCAUCACUACCAGAUGGACCUGCGUUGUAUUAGCUAGUAGGUGAGGUAACGGCUCACCUAGGCGACGAUACAUAGCCGACCUGGGAGGGUGGUCGGCCACACUGGGACUGAGACACGGCCCAGACUCCUACGGGAAGCAGCAGUAGGGAAUCUUCGGCAAUGGACGAAAGGCUGACCGGGCAACGCCGCGUGAGUGAAGAAGGUUUUCGGAUCGUAAAGCUCUGUUGUAAGGGAAGAACGGGUGUGAGAGUGGAAAGUUCACACUGUGACGGUAUCUUACCAGAAAGGGACGGCUAACUACGUG
This 505-nucleotide ribosomal RNA is filed under the name uncultured bacterium. RNAcentral describes it as "partial 16S ribosomal RNA". It matches the Rfam family "Bacterial small subunit ribosomal RNA", at positions 28 to 507 of the family's 1533-position model. The record is from RNAcentral.